Long non-coding RNA from Papaver somniferum (opium poppy), 535 nucleotides. RefSeq lists it as uncharacterized. Lineage: Eukaryota; Viridiplantae; Streptophyta; Magnoliopsida; Ranunculales; Papaveraceae. The transcript is spliced from 3 exons. The record is from RefSeq and is a predicted model, not a curated record.
UUGCUGGGAUGUCACCGAGAUAGAGAGAGGAGAUCUCCUUUCAAAAUUAAAAACCUCUGUAGUGCAGAGCCGAGAUUUGUCCUUAGAAUUUUCUUUUUUAGGUUUAGUCCAAUCUCAAUUUCGCUUUUAUGCUUUUUAGGUUUUCGAUCUGUGCUUUGAGCAGCUAGAGUCAUGAACAGAGAUAAACAAGAGGCUGAGGUUUGAGCGGAGAAUUGAGAGACUGAAGAACUUUGAGCAGAGUCACUAACAGACAUCAGAUUGAGCAUAAUUGCAGAGUCAAUUUAAUGCAAUGGCCAUUUCCCGUGACUUAGUUGCUGCAGCGAAAUUUUGUGGAGGGUUUGAGGAGAGCCUUAAUGCUGUCCUGAAGGAAGUCACUGCUUCCAAUAAUCUUAUUUAUUGAUGUUAUGAAGUCACUUCCGCUGCUACUUGAGAGUAACUAGCACAUUAUGAUUGCCAUGUAUUAUUAAAAGUACAACUUGUAUGUUUUAGAUUGUGGCCACAUUUUUCCUAGUUCUCUUACAAAUUAUAGAUGGUU